AACAACCUCUGCUCAAUAUUGCUAUGAAUUGGGUAGUUAAAUCUCUCUAGAUUUGAGUAAUUCAAUCUCUCAUCUUUUUAAAAUUUCUUUUACUGGAAAAACUACUAAACUUUCCACUAUUGCAAUCCUUGUAAAUCUAUCCUUGACAUUGGUUUGUGCUCAUUUGUAAUGAAUUUAUACAAUAAUUAGCAAUUUAAAAUAUUCGCAGUCUACUUUUUUUGUUUUAUGCUGACAACAUAGAGUUGUGCAUUACGCAAAUCUACACCGCCCAUAGUUUUAUUGGAAAGGGAAACAACAUUUGGUUUCAUAAAAAUAUUUCCUCUUCUGUUAUGCAUUUCAGGGAACCUUGGAAACAGUAGAUAGUAAUAAAGGCUUUUUUUUACCAUCUUGGUAAGCCACACACAACAAAGGACCUUUUCUACAUUGGCAAACCACAUUGUUUUUUAAUUUUUUUUUUAAUGCAGAUUUCAGGUAGUUUCUGGUUUGCUGUUGACUUUCACUGUGCUUACUGUGGUCUGAUGAGAAUUUAAAACUAAUAGCAGUUGAGGAGAAGCAUAAUAAUUGUCAAUACCUACGUCAUACCUUGAUAGAGAAAAACAGCCGUAUUUUGCUGUAAAAAGUCAUAAUUUUAAAGACCUUUUCAAAGCCACAAUUAUGGCUCUUUUUGCCCUUAAUCUUCGAUGGAAUCUUGAACUUAUGCGUUAAUAAUAAAAUGGCGUAUUUAAAAUCAAUUAAAAAAUGGAGUACUUUUGUUACCCACAUGGGGUAUCCUAUUUGGAUUUGUGAAGUUUGAAGUAAAAAAUUACAAUAAAGCACAACAGUUGGUUAAUAUAAGGAAUUGGUAUAAUAACAUCAGGUAAAGUAAAAACUUAUAAACUGGAUUGCAGGCAUUAACAUAACUCCAAAGUAGGUUGGUAUUUUUAUUUUACCGUUGUUUUUUUUUUUUUAUAUUUUGUUGCAUUAUUAAAAUAAAAUAAAGAUGGCUUGCACAGUAGAACAGAACAAAAAUUUAAAGCUUUAGUUUAAAAAGCAAAAAAUAGACUAGUUAAUGUAGGCUUUAAUAAUAUAGGAGCUAAAGUAUACCAUAAAGUCAUUUUUAAAUAUAUCAA
Hydra vulgaris (swiftwater hydra) is the source of this 1109-nucleotide non-coding RNA. The record is from RefSeq and is a predicted model, not a curated record. NCBI's taxonomy places the organism in Eukaryota, Metazoa, Cnidaria, Hydrozoa, Anthoathecata, Hydridae.